UACGAAGGGUGCUAGCGUUGUUCGGAAUUACUGGGCGUAAAGCGCGCGCAGGCGGUCUUCCAAGUCAGUGGUGAAAGCCCGGAGCUCAACUCCGGAACUGCCAUUGAAACUGUUGGACUUGAGUAUGAGAGAGGUGAGUGGAAUUCCCAGUGUAGAGGUGAAAUUCGUAGAUAUUGGGAAGAACACCGGUGGCGAAGGCGGCUCACUGGCUCAUUACUGACGCUCAGGCGCGACAGCGUGGGGAUCAAACAGG
This 253-nucleotide ribosomal RNA is filed under the name uncultured bacterium. RNAcentral's name for it is "partial 16S ribosomal RNA". It matches the Rfam family "Bacterial small subunit ribosomal RNA", at positions 524 to 776 of the family's 1533-position model. The record is from RNAcentral.